AACGAACGCUGGCGGCAUGCCUAACACAUGCAAGUCGAACGAGACCUUCGGGUCUAGUGGCGCACGGGUGCGUAACGCGUGGGAACCUGCCCUUAGGUUCGGAAUAACUCCCCGAAAGGGGUGCUAAUACCGGUUAAUGUCUUCGGACCAAAGAGUUAUCGCCUUUGGAUGGGCCCGCGUUGGAUUAGCUAGUUGGUAGGGUAAAAGCCUACCAAGGCGACGAUCCAUAGCUGGUCUGAGAGGAUGAUCAGCCACACUGGGACUGAGACACGGCCCAGAAUCCUACGGGAGGCAGCAGUGGGGAAUAUUGGACAAUGGGCGAAAGCCUGAUCCAGCAAUGCCGCGUGAGUGAUGAAGGCCUUAGGGUUGUAAAGCUCUUUUACCCGGGAUGAUAAUGACAGUACCGGGAGAAUAAGCUCCGGCUAACUCCGUG
Molecule: ribosomal RNA, 433 nt
Filed under: uncultured bacterium
Lineage: Bacteria
Description: partial 16S ribosomal RNA
Rfam family: Bacterial small subunit ribosomal RNA
Source: RNAcentral